UGUCUGACGCUGGUCUGACGUCAUCACGUAUGUGCUCCGCCCCCGACGUGCCUAGACGUUCUAUCGCCCAUGCCUUCACCAGAGUCCGCCAUUAGCCCCUUGCCUCUGUUGAAGUCGCUCAGACUUUUAAGAAUACUUUGCCCACCGUGCCGGAAUCGUGAUCCUUUUUUUUGGCCGCACUACUCUGUUAAUGCAGACUACCUUUGCCCUGCGGCGCAAUGAGAUCAUCAAUGAUGAGCUGCCUGUUGGAGAGAUCCUGGAACGCUGGCCUGCCUUGAAAAUGGAGUCACAGAGUUUCACAGGAUAACAAACCUCAACCUGAAGAACCACUUCUAUGCGGAGUUGGAUAGACAUGUCCUCCAUCUUCAGAGCCUGUUCAGGAAGAAGGCGGCAAGGAAAGGAAACUGAACUUCUGGAUCAGCUAUUCGCCUCCUAUGACCUCCAGGUGAGUCGGUUAUGCCUCUUGGUGUUUUAUUCUCAUACUAGAGUGGAUUAUCUUUGUCAAAAUGUUAAUCUCUUCAGUCAUGGAAGAGCCCUUUCUUGUGAUAUCAAUUGUUGUGUGGUUAUACUGUUUAGCAUCCAAAGUAAAAC
Long non-coding RNA from Gymnodraco acuticeps, 591 nucleotides. RefSeq lists it as uncharacterized. Lineage: Eukaryota; Metazoa; Chordata; Actinopteri; Perciformes; Bathydraconidae. The record is from RefSeq and is a predicted model, not a curated record. The transcript has 3 exons.